RNAcentral lists this ribosomal RNA (385 nucleotides) under uncultured bacterium. RNAcentral describes it as "bacterial SSU rRNA". It matches the Rfam family "Bacterial small subunit ribosomal RNA", at positions 28 to 408 of the family's 1533-position model. The record is from RNAcentral.
GAUGAACGCUAGCGGCAGGUUUAAUACAUGCAAGUCGAGGGGCAGCAUGGUGUAGCAAUACACUGAUGGCGACCGGCAAACGGGUGCGGAACACGUACAGAACCUUCCUUCGAGCGGGGAAUAGCCCAGAGAAAUUUGGAUUAAUACCCCAUAGUACAUUGAGGCGGCAUCGUUUUAAUGUUAAAGAUUUAUCACUUGAAGAUGGCUGUGCGGCUGAUUAGGUAGUUGGCGGGGUAACGGCCCACCAAGCCUGCGAUCAGUAACUGGUGUGAGAGCACGACCAGUCACACGGGCACUGAGACACGGGCCCGACUCCUACGGGAGGCAGCAGUAAGGAAUAUUGGUCAAUGGACGAAAGUCUGAACCAGCCAUGCCGCGUGGAGGA